AAACACAAGCAAAAAAUACGUGAUGAAGAGCAAAGACAAAGAAAAAUCAGAGCUGGACGGCAAAGUUGGAUAAAAUGCUGCGGUGGUUAGGACAGACGUCUGGAGGAGGUGAGAAGAGGAAGGAAGCAGAAGAUGAGAGUGUUGACAGAGCGUGCAAAGCGAAGAGAAGAAACUUCAACAGUAAAUGGCAGACAGGCCGUGAAUGGCUUGUGUUUGACAAUGAAAAUGCAGUAAUGUCUUGUAAAAUUUGCCGAGUGUACACGAAAGAAAUAAACAAAACUAACAGUUUUGUGGUGGGGACUAAUAAUUUUAAAAUCGAGGCUGUGAAGGACCACGAGAAAGCUCGAAGUCAACAGGAAAGCCUCCAAAUGAAGACUGCUAAGGCAGUUCCAGUUGAAGUGUUGCUGGGAAAAGUCUCUCUUCACUCAGAAGUUUGGAGUUGGAAAAGAUGCAGCUUCUUUUUAGAAAUGCUCAUGCCAUCGCAAAAAAGGGAAGGCCUUUCACCGACUUCGCAUGGAUGUGUGAGUAAGUAAAUCAAUCAUUCCAUUUACAUGUUUCAGAAUCAGUGCAUUUAAACUGAUACAGAGUGAUGAUAGACACGCCUUUACUGACACAGAUGAAAUGUUAUGCUUGAUUUCAAAAAGAAAAAAUAAAAGAACUCAGUAACUGAACUCUGCACUAACUUUGGCUUUAUUCACAUGAUUAAUUUAGGGUGGACAGAAAGAAAGGCUUGAAGAUAGGAGAGACAUAUACAAAUGACCACCAAGCAAAAGAAUUCAUACACUACAUAGCAGAGGAUGAGAGGAGAAAAAUGAAGACAAGAUUAUUAGAUGGCAAGUUCAUGUCAGUCAUGUCAGAUGGAUCCCUGGACAGUGCAGUGAUGGAAGAAGAAAUUGUUUAUGUCAGGAGUGCCAGUGAAGGAAAAGUUAAAGUUGACCUUGUUGGGGUUAAAUCAGUCUCAAAGCCAGAUGCUGCAAAUAUAGCUGAAGCUGUGUGCGGUAUGUUGGACAGUGAAGUCAGCACUGAUUGGAAGAAGAAGCUGGUUGCCAUCACUACUGAUGGAGCAUCUGUAAUGACAGGAGUAAACAAUGGUGUUGUUACAAAACUGCGUGGAGACAGAUGUUACGUGCCACUGCAUGGCCCAUAAGCUUGAACUCUCCUUUUCGGAUGGAAUAAGGAAGAAUGUGAUGGUCAGGAAAGUUGAGGACCUGUUGAGUGGACUCUACACCUUAUAUCAUAAGAGUGGCGUAAACAGGGCCAGCCUAAAGGAUCACUUCAGGGAGCUCCACCUGAAGCCUUUGAUGCCAACCAGAAUAGGUGGAACCCGGUGGCUCCCACAUUUCUUCAAUGCACUUGAUCAUUUUCUCAGGGGAUAUGUUGGCUUUGUCCACCACUUAGAGGAAAAGGUGUGUUAAUUUACAUUCUAGUAAAACUAGUGUAGAUAGAUACAAUGUUCUCUAAAUCUGAUACUCACUAUCAUCAGUUUUAAUGCGGUCUGUGGCUGUGAUAUAAUUUAGUUUGUUUGUCUGUAGUCCCAAAAUACCACGAACACCAAUGCAGUUCUGAGGGCAAAGGCCAAGGGGUUCCUCAACAUAGCCAAGGAUGGUGGGGUGCUCAGGUUAUGCUGCCUUCUCCAUGACACCAUCUAUCAACUGAGCAGCCUCUCCAAGUCACUGCAGAGGUCCGUGUCAGCCCUGGCUGAAGCUCAGAGUCUCAAGCUGUCAUUCAAAAGUACAAGUCAAGACCUGGGCCUAAGAUGAGAUCAGUGCUGGACACAGACACAUGUGGCAAGGUGGAGACACGAGGGCCCGGGCGGGAUUCGAUCCCCAGACUCCCGGGUGAGAGUCAUACGCUCUAACCAGUCAGCCAAAGGGACAUCCCCUUGGCCAAGUAGCCAGGGCGCAUGAUCAAUCGGGACAUUGUGACAGGACACUCACACUGUCACACACAUAUGAGGGAGUCCUUCUGAAGCCUUCUGAUGCUGGCCAGCACAACAAGGCAAAUAACGAGUUGAUCGAUUCUCUGUGUCAAUGCAUCACUGCGAGAUUUAGUGAUGUGAACAGUGGUGUCCUGCAUGCUAUGCGACUGACCAGUUUCCAGUGCUGGCCAGAGGCAGACACGAGUUUCGAUUUUGGUGAUGAGGAGAUAAACAAGCUCACAAGUCACUUCUGACCUCUUCUGCUGUCUGCUGGAGUGGAUGUGGACUUGAUCCCUGAUCAAUGGACAAUUGUUAAGGCUGAACUGUACACAGCAGGAUUUAGCCAAGGAACUUUUGAGAAAACCUGGCCUACUGUGAACAGAAUGCUGCACCAUCGGUGUCCUGACGUCCUUUACCUCUUUGAUGCUCUCCUCACCAUCCCUGCAAGUACAGCUGACUGUGAAAGAGGGUUCAGUGUCAUGAAGCAGGUGGCGGUAACACGUUCAUUGUUCUCCGAGCGCCAACCAAAACCAAGACGAAGAAGAAGUAAAGGACUGUUGGCAAGGUUAGCUUGUUGUAUGAGGUGAAUGUUGAGUCUCUGGGUUAAACCAUCGACAUAUAUACGGCUUAAACAUGUAUUCAGGAGAGUCUCUGAUGGAGUUUGUCAACAAGCAAGUAGCUACUGCUAGAAAACUCAUCACGAAGGUUGAAGAAGCCUUGGCCCAGUUCGAGGAAGGGCUCGGUAGUCAGCGUAGACUGUCGGAUAUGAGCUGGGAACCACAGAGCACACACAGAGCAGGUAAGAAACACCAGCGGGACUCGUGCAGAGACGGACUGGGACAAUAAUUUAGCCUGGGGCCCUGUCCUGUUAUUAUUUAAGGUGUGUAGAAAGCUGCUUUCUUGUGUAGAUCAUCUCCAGCAAGCGGACCUCCGUUUUCUGACUGCCUUCUAGCUAGCCGUCUUUCGAUUUUUACGGGCGCAACUACAAGAGAAUUUACGGUGUCCUCGUUAUAGAGUGUCUUUCAAAAUAAAAGCGCUCAAAACACAUUUCAAAGUUUGUGUAAAAUUGUGUCUACGAUAAAACUGCGUUUUAUGAUUUUAUCUAUUUAAAAAUACUUUUAAUUAAAAUAAUGAACACGAAAUAAACAUAUUUGUGUAAAAUUGUGUGCAAGAUAAAACUGUGUUUUUAUGAUUUUAUCUAUUUAAAAAUACUUUAAAUUAAAAGAAUAAACACAUUUGUCUACUUUGCAAUUCUUAUCCCGCCCCUCCCUUUCAUCCUGAUCUGAUGUGGCAUUUCAAAAGAAAGUGAAAAUAUUGACAAUUAUCACUAAAUUCAAUGGUUUCAUUCUCAAAACGGUCUAAAUGAAGUGCAAAUUUAACUAUAAAGACAAUUUUCACCAUAUUCAAUGGUUUCUUUCUCAAAAACUGUCUGAUUCCACAUCAGUCUUAAAGUACACACUGACUGCUAAAUCCUCCCCGACUUUCAUUAGGAUCUGAUGUGACAUUUCAAAAUAAAGUGCAAUAAAAUAUGACUUUAGAGACAAUUUUCACUAUAUUCAAUUUAAUAAUUUCUCAAAAGCUGUCUGAUUCCACAACAUCAUUCCACCUCAGUAUUAGAACACACAUCGAGGACUAGAUCAGAAAUUUUGUGAGGAUGUAGUCGUCUAUGUGUACUUUAAGGCAGAUGUGGAAUGAUGUUGCGGAAUCAAACUGUUUUUGAGAAAUCAGCCGUGGAAUAUAGUGAAAAUUGUCAUUACUGACUAGUUUCAUUGCACUUUAUUUUGAAAUGCCACAUCAGAUCUUCAUGAAAUUUGGGGAGGAUGUAGUGCUCGAUGUGUACUCUUAAGAUUGAAGUCGAUUGAUGUUGCGGAAUGAAACAGUUUUUGAGAAAUUACCAUGGAAUUAGUAAAAAUAGUCCUUAAUGACUUGAUUGCACUUUAUUUUGAAAUGCCACAUCAAUCAAUCAAAGCUUUAUUUAUAAAGCACCUGUCGGGAAGCCCAAGGCGUUGAACGUGGUACAUGAGAAAUGUGAAACAUGAUGAAUAAAUCAAAAAUAAAAGCAAUUCAAAUAGUGCAAAAAAGGUAAAACAUUAAAGUAGAAGACAAAUGGGUAAAACAAGGGAUAAAGAGACCAAUGAAAACAGGGAAAUAAAAUCAACAUAAAAGAGGGCCUAAUUCAAACACGUUCAGGGAAUGCCAAGCGGAGGAGGUGGGGUUUUAGGCGACUCUUAAAAGACUGGCAGAGAUGGGGACAGCCUAAUUGAGCGUGGCAACUGGUUCCAGAGUGACGGUGUUAGGACAGAGAAAGCCCGGUCCUCGCGAGUACAACACCUAGAACGAGGGACAGCGAGCAGGCCUUGGUCAGCGGAGCGCAGAGCGUGUGAUGGGGAAUGUCUGUUCAGGAGUGUGGCUAGAUAGGGGGGAGCACCACCCUGGAAGAAAUUGUAAACAAAGAGGAGGAGUUUAAAGUGUGAACAAUAACAGACUGGAAGCCAGUGCAGGGAGGCCAGAACCAGACUGAUGUGGUCCCGUUUCCUGGUCCCAGUCAGGAACCUGGCUGUGCUGUUCUGCACAACCUGUAGACGAUGCAGUGAUGACUGACACAACCCUGCAUAUAGAGAGUUGCAGUAAUCAAUCCUAGAAAUUACAAAAGCAUGGAGUCCGGCUCCAGGUGGGCUCUUGACAGCAUAGGCUUGAUUUUUUCAAGGCGUCUCAGAUGAAAGAAACUGGACCGGAUCACAGAGUUGAUGUGAGCAUCAAAUUUAAUAAGUCCAGCGUCAAUUUUCACCCCCAGACUGGUGACAACUGGUUUUGAGUAGGGAGAAAGAGGGCCAAGAUCAACAUAACGACCCACUGCCCUGCUAUUGGGGUGAAAAACAAUGAGCUGUGUCUUUCCCUCAUUCAGAUGCAGAUAGUUGGCCAUUAGUCAAGACUUUACCUCGUUAAGACACAACACAAAGGACUGGAUAGAGAGACCUUUCUCCUGACACAGUGGAGAGUAAAUCUGGCAAUCGUCAGCAUUGAGAUGGAAUGCUAGGCCAUGUUUACGAAAGAUUGACCCUAGAGAAAGCAGAUAAAUUGCAAACAAAAGAGGACCAAGGAUCAAUCCCAAAGGAAACCGCCAGCGGUGCCCCUCCCAAGAAGAAAAAACAUCACCCAGUUUAAAGGUUGGUUUAUGCUUGACGCGUCCGCGCGGCGAAAUUGCGUCAUUUUAACAACCACGCCCCUCCACAGCGCCUCCGCACGGCCCAAAAUUUCCGCAACGCGCACCUAGGAAAUUUUCUAACUGCACGGACGGUCGGACGCGGAAAAACAUGGCGGACCGGCAAGAACUAGUAUGGCAGAGGUUCGUAAAUACAGACAUUUGUAUGAUUCAGCUCUCAAAGAUCACCAUGAUCAACAUGUUGUUAAUAAUUCUUGGAGAGAAAUAGCUCGCACUGUCGGAAAAGACAAGGAUGCUGUUAAAAAUGCUGGAAUGCCAUGUUGUAAACAGUAAUUUCUACUUCUACUAUGGUGUAGUGUUGGAUGCAUGCCGUAGAGCUCCAUGCUGCCCCGUUCAGCAGAGGUGGAAAGUAAUGAAUUACAUUUACUCACGUUACUGUAAUGGAGUAGCUUUUUUGUAAAUUUAUACUUUUUAAGUCGUUUUUAAAAUCUGUACUUUUACUUUUACUUGAGUAAGUUUUUAAAAAAGAAUUGUAAUUCGCUACAUUUUAAAUCAUAUCCGUUACUGAGUAAAAAUAAAUUGUAGGCUUAAUAAAUUAAAAAUAUUACGUGUAGCAGCGUCGGAACAGAAAGAGACACCUGCAUGAGCGCCACGUCUAAACCGG
Molecule: non-coding RNA, 5745 nt
Organism: Nothobranchius furzeri (turquoise killifish)
Lineage: Eukaryota; Metazoa; Chordata; Actinopteri; Cyprinodontiformes; Nothobranchiidae
Source: RefSeq, a predicted model, not a curated record